This is a non-coding RNA of Ictidomys tridecemlineatus (thirteen-lined ground squirrel), 833 nucleotides long. The record is from RefSeq and is a predicted model, not a curated record. Lineage: Eukaryota; Metazoa; Chordata; Mammalia; Rodentia; Sciuridae.
UAGGGGAAGAAAAUACAUACAUUAGUCAUCUGUUGCUGGUGGUUGGAUAGCCAGGAGCUACAGAUCUUGAUAUCUCUCUGCUACUUGGUAGAGAGUCCAGAGACUCUGCAACUUGUUCAGCACUUGCUACAGCGUAGAUAUCUGAGAAACGCCAGGCCUGCUUGCUUUCUACCACUAAAAGAAUUUACUGGAAUCUAAACUUCCCUGAGUGAGAGGAUGUCAUUCCAUGGACAAAAAUCCACUAAGCAACAGAGAAGACAACAGCACUUUGGAAAACACAUGAGGCCAGGGAAACCUAACUUAGGGUUCAGUCUUCCAAACCAGGCAAUACUUGAGUAGUUAAGAUAUCAGGUACUAGAAAGGCAGAGAGAAGUGACACAUAUAAGGUGUAUUUCUUCCUUGAGGCAUUUGUCCACACUUAAGCUAUAGAGAACCUGUAACCAAGAUGCUCAACAGACAGCAGUUAAAAUCUCAGUGGACUUCUCAGUGGUCCCUUGAUGUUACAUGAUAAAGACCUGAGUUCAUCCCAUCUGGACCCCAAAACCUUGGCAAGACUUUAUCAUUUUACUGUCUCUAUAUGGGGCCAUUUCCAGAGUGCCAUAUACUUGGAUUCAUACAAUACAUAGUCUUUUCAGACUGACUUCUUUCACUUAGUCAUUCAUUUACAUUUUCUUCAUACCCUUUCAUGACUUGAUAGCUCAUUUUUUUUAGUCCAGGAUACUAUUUCAUCUUCUAGGUGCACUAGAAGAUGAAUUAUCCUCUGUACUACUGAAGGACAUCUUGACUGCCUCCAAGUUUUGGUUGCUAUGAAUAAAAUAGAAUAAAUCUUCUUA